GCCUUUGAUUACAGUUCAAGGAAAAAACUCUGGCCAUGGAUCAAAACAUUAUAAAGAUGAUUGGAUCAAAGGUUCCCUUCUUAUAUUCAUCGCCAAUGCCACAUUUAGUGUAUAGUUCAUUCUUCAGGUUAGUCCUUCAAAUGUGCUGCUAUAUUCCUUCUCACACAUUGCAUACUUCGGUUAAAGAGCUUACGAAGAUUGAUCAAAAAGCUUUGGUUCUGCAGGCAAAUGUUUGUGAGGUUUAUCGAGCAAGAUUAUCGAUGAACAUCCUAAUCUGCUUCUUCACAUCCCUUCAGUCUGCAGCAGUUGCCCUCAUCUUUGACAAGAAUUCAUCUUCUUGGAAAUUAGAAUAGAACAUACAACUUAAAACAGUCAUAUACUCAGUAUGUAACUUAAUUUGUCCUCUCAUUUAUUAACAGAAAACCUUAUUGAUUCGUGAAGAUUUCGG
Molecule: long non-coding RNA, 448 nt
Organism: Asparagus officinalis (garden asparagus)
Lineage: Eukaryota; Viridiplantae; Streptophyta; Magnoliopsida; Asparagales; Asparagaceae
Exons: 2
Source: RefSeq, a predicted model, not a curated record